RNAcentral lists this ribosomal RNA (497 nucleotides) under uncultured bacterium. RNAcentral's name for it is "partial 16S ribosomal RNA". It matches the Rfam family "Bacterial small subunit ribosomal RNA", at positions 28 to 507 of the family's 1533-position model. The record is from RNAcentral.
GAUGAACGCUGGCGGCGUGCCUAAUACAUGCAAGUCGAGCGAACGGACGAGAAGCUUGCCUUUCUGAUGUUAGCGGCGGACGGGUGAGUAACACGUGGAUAACCUACCUAUAAGACUGGGAUAACUUCGGGAAACCGGAGCUAAUACCGGAUAAUAUUUUGAACCGCAUGGUUCAAAAGUGAAAGACGGUCUUGCUGUCACUUAUAGAUGGAUCCGCGCUGCAUUUGCUAGUUGGUAAGGUAACGGCUUACCAAGGCAACGAUGCAUAGCCGACCUGAGAGGGUGAUCGGCCACACUGGAACUGAGACACGGUCCAGACUCCUACGGGAGGCAGCAGUAGGGAAUCUUCCGCAAUGGGCGAAAGCCUGACGGAGCAACGCCGCGUGAGUGAUGAAGGUCUUCGGAUCGUAAAACUCUGUUAUUAGGGAAGAACAUAUGUGUAAGUAACUGUGCACAUCUUGACGGUACCUAAUCAGAAAGCCACGGCUAACUACGUG